AGCUUUGCACAGUGGCAAUAUUGUAGCCAAUGAGGUUUAUCUGAGGUGCAAUUAUUGCUAAUUAAAAGUAGGUGAAGGCCCAAGUAGUUGUGUCCCUGCCACCCACAUGGAAGAUCUAGAUUAAGUUCUGGGACCAUGACUG
This is a small nuclear RNA of Ochotona curzoniae (black-lipped pika), 142 nucleotides long. RefSeq annotates it as U4 spliceosomal RNA. The record is from RefSeq and is a predicted model, not a curated record. Lineage: Eukaryota; Metazoa; Chordata; Mammalia; Lagomorpha; Ochotonidae. The transcript has a single exon.